UCACCUCUUGUAAAUACCAAAUAAGAGGCCCCGCCUGCCCUGUGACUAUAUGUUUAACGGCCGCGGUAUCUUGACCGUGCGAAGGUAGCGCAAUCAAUUGUCUUUUAAAUGGAGACCUGUAUGAAUGGCGUAACGAGGGCUUGACUGUCUCCCUUUCCCAGUCAAUGAAAUUGAUCCCCCCGUGCAGAAGCGGGGAUAAGCACAUAAGACGAGAAGACCCUGUGGAGCUUUAGACGCUAGGGCAGCCUAAUAUUAAGUUAUGCUCUCAAAACAUAAUACCUGAAACCCCUGUCCUCAUGUCUUGGUUGGGGCGACCAUGGAGUAAAGAGCAACCUCCACGUGGAAUAAGAGUACUACUCCCUAAAACUAGGGCUACCACCCCACUUGUCAGAAUUUCUGGCCUUAUGAUCCGGCUUAUGCCGAUUAACGAAUUGAGUUACCCCAGGGAUAACAGCGCAAUCCCCUUUAAAAGACCUUAUCUAAAAGGGGGUUUACGACCUCGAUGUUGGAUCAGGACAUCCUAUUGGUGCAGCCGCUAUAAG
RNAcentral lists this ribosomal RNA (542 nucleotides) under Antennarius hispidus (shaggy angler). Its description in RNAcentral is "partial 16S ribosomal RNA". It matches the Rfam family "Bacterial large subunit ribosomal RNA", at positions 1816 to 2569 of the family's 2925-position model. The record is from RNAcentral. Lineage: Eukaryota; Metazoa; Chordata; Actinopteri; Lophiiformes; Antennariidae.